AGGGAAUUUUCGGCAAUGGGGGGAACCCUGACCGAGCAACGCCGCGUGAAGGAAGAAGGAAUUCGUUCUGUAAACUUCUGUUAUAAAGGAAGAAAGACGGAUGGAGGAAAUGACAUCCGAGUGACGGUACUUUAUGAGAAAGCCACGGCUAACUACGUGCCAGCAGCCGCGGUAAUACGUAGGUGGCAAGCGUUAUCCGGAAUUAUUGGGCGUAAAGAGGGAGCAGGCGGCAGCAAAGGUCUGUGGUGAAAGACUGAAGCUUAACUUCAGUAAGCCAUAGAAACCAGGCAGCUAGAGUGCAGGAGAGGAUCGUGGAAUUCCAUGUGUAGCGGUGAAAUGCGUAGAUAUAUGGAGGAACACCAGUGGCGAAGGCGACGAUCUGGCCUGCAACUGACGCUCAGUCCCGAAAGCGUGGGGAGCAAAUAGG
RNAcentral lists this ribosomal RNA (427 nucleotides) under uncultured bacterium. RNAcentral describes it as "bacterial SSU rRNA". It matches the Rfam family "Bacterial small subunit ribosomal RNA", at positions 356 to 776 of the family's 1533-position model. The record is from RNAcentral.